AGAGUUUGAUCCUGGCUCAGGAUGAACGCUAGCGGCAGGCUUAAUACAUGCAAGUCGAACGGGAUUCGGGGUAGCAAUACUUUGAUGAGAGUGGCGCACGGGUGCGUAACGCGUAUGCAACCUACCUUUAACAGGGGAAUAGCCCCGAGAAAUCGGGAUUAAUACUCCGUAACAUUGCGGUGUGGCAUCACACUGCAAUUAAAGAUUUAUCGGUUAAAGAUGGGCAUGCGUGACAUUAGCUAGUUGGUGAGGUAACGGCUCACCAAGGCAACGAUGUCUAGGGGUCCUGAGAGGGUUAUCCCCCACACUGGUACUGAGACACGGACCAGACUCCUACGGGAGGCAGCAGUAAGGAAUAUUGGUCAAUGGGCGCAAGCCUGAACCAGCCAUGCCGCGUGCAGGAAGACGGCCCUAUGGGUUGUAAACUGCUUUUAUCAGGGAAUAAACCCCCGCUCGUGAGCGGGGCUGAAGGUACCUGAAGAAUAAGCAUCGGCUAACUCCGUGCCAGCAGCCGCGGUAAUACGGAGGAUGCAAGCGUUAUCCGGAUUCAUUGGGUUUAAAGGGUGCGCAGGCGGAUUGGUAAGUCAGGGGUGAAAUCCCACAGCUCAACUGUGGAACUGCCUUUGAUACUGUCAGUCUAGAGUAUAGUUGAAGUUGGCGGAAUG
Molecule: ribosomal RNA, 665 nt
Filed under: uncultured Lentimicrobium sp.
Lineage: Bacteria; Pseudomonadati; Bacteroidota; Bacteroidia; Bacteroidales; Lentimicrobiaceae
Description: bacterial SSU rRNA
Rfam family: Bacterial small subunit ribosomal RNA
Source: RNAcentral